Long non-coding RNA from Aphis gossypii (cotton aphid), 835 nucleotides. RefSeq lists it as uncharacterized. NCBI's taxonomy places the organism in Eukaryota, Metazoa, Arthropoda, Insecta, Hemiptera, Aphididae. The record is from RefSeq and is a predicted model, not a curated record. The transcript is spliced from 3 exons.
AACGAAAUUGCGGCAAAACAAGUCUAUAACGUGCAUUUUAUAUCACCUGGAGCCCGAUGAAACGUGCCGCUCGUUUCGUAAAGAUUAUAGGUACACACGCGGCUGCUCAUAAAGAUACAAUUUAGGAGACCGAAUAACACGAACUAAAAAGACACACCACAUCGUCGUACUGCAUUGCAUUCACAAUGGUCCGUGAAGAGGCGUUACCGUCUGAAAGAACACUGAAUUAGAAACCGCCGGUCGGGUCCCUCCCAUGUUGUUUUUUUCACAACCCCUUAACCCCCUCCAUACGAGAUUUUACUCUCGUUAUCAAAAACGGUCGCACUUCAACAAAUAUAAUUACGGUUCAGAAUACCUCGAAGCCCACCUGUCUAGUAUACCUACAUAAUAUAGUCGGGGACUCGGGGAUGAAAGAAAAAAUUCACAGCGGGGAGGAUAUCAUCGACACGGUCUAAUUUGGGAGUUGUACUUAUCCACGGACAAGUAUAAAGAAGUUAUUAUACAAAUUAUGAACGGCCCCCCACAUGGUGGUCUAUGGAUAAUGGAGAAAAAAGAUCAAGAGAUUUGUAUUAUAUUAUGUAUGGUAAAUGUGAAUCGAUGAAGGGAACAACGUGUGCCGUCCAAAACGACUAUUCAAUGACAAUCAUUUUUUCCCUGUGUAUUAUAUUAUGUAGUCUGUAAUUUAUAAAUGGACCAUGAACUAUUAUGAAAAAUAUUUGCGCAGAAGCUAAACAGUUAAACAGUUGUUUUUCUUUGUAAUGAUUAUGACUAAUUUAGUUUAAACCAUUAGAAAUUUUAUUGUUUGAAAUACUUGAAAUUAAUUUAAAAAAUAAAU